This 496-nucleotide ribosomal RNA is filed under the name uncultured bacterium. RNAcentral describes it as "partial 16S ribosomal RNA". It matches the Rfam family "Bacterial small subunit ribosomal RNA", at positions 28 to 506 of the family's 1533-position model. The record is from RNAcentral.
GAUGAACGCUGGCGGCGUGCCUAAUACAUGCAAGUCGAGCGAACAGACGAGGAGCUUGCUCCUCUGACGUUAGCGGCGGACGGGUGAGUAACACGUGGAUAACCUACCUAUAAGACUGGGAUAACUUCGGGAAACCGGAGCUAAUACCGGAUAAUAUAUUGAACCGCAUGGUUCAAUAGUGAAAGACGGUUUUGCUGUCACUUAUAGAUGGAUCCGCGCCGCAUUAGCUAGUUGGUAAGGUAACGGCUUACCAAGGCAACGAUGCGUAGCCGACCUGAGAGGGUGAUCGGCCACACUGGAACUGAGACACGGUCCAGAAUCCUACGGGAGGCAGCAGUAGGGAAUCUUCCGCAAUGGGCGAAAGCCUGACGGAGCAACGCAGCGUGAGUGAUGAAGGUCUUCGGAUCGUAAAACUCUGUUAUUAGGGAAGAACAAAUGUGUAAGUAACUAUGCACGUCUUGACGGUACCUAAUCAGAAAGCCACGGCUAACUACGU